UGUAGCUCAGUGAUAGAGCACUUGCCUAGCAUACAUGAGGCCCUAGGUUCAAUUCCCAGCA
RNAcentral lists this transfer RNA (61 nucleotides) under Neotoma lepida (desert woodrat). It matches the Rfam family "tRNA", at positions 6 to 65 of the family's 71-position model. From Rfam's summary of the family: Transfer RNA (tRNA) molecules are approximately 80 nucleotides in length. Their secondary structure includes four short double-helical elements and three loops (D, anti-codon, and T loops). Further hydrogen bonds mediate the characteristic L-shaped molecular structure. tRNAs have two regions of fundamental functional importance: the anti-codon, which is responsible for specific mRNA codon recognition, and the 3' end, to which the tRNAs corresponding amino acid is attached (by aminoacyl-tRNA synthetases). tRNAs cope with the degeneracy of the genetic code in two manners: having more than one tRNA (with a specific anti-codon) for a particular amino acid; and 'wobble' base-pairing, i.e. permitting non-standard base-pairing at the 3rd anti-codon position. Lineage: Eukaryota; Metazoa; Chordata; Mammalia; Rodentia; Cricetidae. The record is from Rfam by way of RNAcentral.